RNAcentral lists this long non-coding RNA (596 nucleotides) under Hordeum vulgare. RNAcentral describes it as "long non-coding RNA (HVUL_LNC017317)". The record is from RNAcentral. Lineage: Eukaryota; Viridiplantae; Streptophyta; Magnoliopsida; Poales; Poaceae.
AAAACCUAAUGCUGCAGCAACAGCAUGCCGGCGGCACACCGGACUGGUUCCUCGACACGGGUGCUACGUCCCACGUCGCAGGUAACGCGAACACUCUCACCUCGUAUGGUUCCCCUCUUUGGGUCAUUCCUCUGGCAUCCUCAUCGGUGACGGCUCCCGCCUACCCAUCACCGCCGUCGGCUCCACCUCUCUCUCCAACUUCUCUCUCAAUGACGUGUUGAUCUCCCCCAAUAUGAUCAAAAAUCUUAUUGCAGUACGUCAUUUCACCAUAGACAACUAUUGCUCUAUUGCAUUUGACCCUUUCUGUUUUUCCGUGAAGGACCUAGCCACGGGGAGGGUGAUCAUGAUAUCAAAUAGCCAUGGGGAUCUCUACCCCUUCUUCAGCAACUCUGGUGUGCAGGCAGCCUUCUCCAUCACCUCUGACGAUCUAUGGCAUCUUCGCUUGGGUCACGCCAACAAUAACGUCGUCUACACCAUCGCUCGUAGUUUUCUUCUCAAUUGUAAUAAUAGUCCUAGUCAACAUGUUUGUAGUUCAUGUAAACUAGGCAAGCAGCCUCGGCUGCCCUUUCCCCAUUCCACCUCCAAGACUAGUGCAC